RNAcentral lists this ribosomal RNA (253 nucleotides) under uncultured bacterium. RNAcentral describes it as "partial 16S ribosomal RNA". It matches the Rfam family "Bacterial small subunit ribosomal RNA", at positions 524 to 776 of the family's 1533-position model. The record is from RNAcentral.
UACGUAGGGUGCGAGCGUUAAUCGGAAUUACUGGGCGUAAAGCGUGCGCAGGCGGUUUUGUAAGCCAGGUGUGAAAUCCCCGGGCUCAACCUGGGAAUGGCAUUGGUGACUGCACGGCUAGAGUGUGUCAGAGGGGGGUAGAAUUCCACGUGUAGCAGUGAAAUGCGUAGAGAUGUGGAGGAAUACCGAUGGCGAAGGCAGCCCCCUGGGAUAACACUGACGCUCAUGCACGAAAGCGUGGGGAGCAAACAGG